CAACCCUGGAAUGAGAAAUGAAGAGGUAACAGCCUUAGUUCAAGCUGCCCAAGAUUCUCCUGUGGAUACCUCAAGUAGCAAAGCAAAAAAUACUCCUCACUCCUCCGAAGCAACUCACAUUCCACACAAAGAUGAUGGCACAGGUCAAAACAAUUUACCUUGCAAUGAUGAUGCAUGAAGUACAAGAAGACUUUGAUUAGGAAUUCUAAUUCAUGUAUUAGGAAUUUCACACUUUUGGUAUUUUGAAGACGACUUUGAUUAGGAAUUCUAAUUCAUGUAUUAGGAAUUUCACACUUUUGGUAUUUUGAAGACGACUUUGAUUAGGAAUUCUAAUUCAUGUAUUAGGAAUUCAUGAGUAGUUAUGAUUUUCACUUUUGGUAUUUUGUUAGUGUAUGUUGUUAUGUGAUCACACACUUAUUUUGGUGACAAUUUUAUGAAAGUUGGAUUACUUGAUAA
Molecule: non-coding RNA, 456 nt
Organism: Arachis ipaensis
Lineage: Eukaryota; Viridiplantae; Streptophyta; Magnoliopsida; Fabales; Fabaceae
Source: RefSeq, a predicted model, not a curated record